RNAcentral lists this ribosomal RNA (253 nucleotides) under uncultured bacterium. Its description in RNAcentral is "partial 16S ribosomal RNA". It matches the Rfam family "Bacterial small subunit ribosomal RNA", at positions 524 to 776 of the family's 1533-position model. The record is from RNAcentral.
UACAGAGGGUGCGAGCGUUGUUCGGAAUUAUUGGGCGUAAAGGGCGCGUAGGCGGUGCGGUAAGUCACCUGUGAAAGCCCCCGGCUCAACCGGGGAAUUGCGCCCUAAACUGGCGAGCUGGAGUGAGAUAGGGGUGUGUGGAACUUCCGGUGGAGCGGUGAAAUGUGUUGAUAUCGGAAGGAACGCCGGUGGCGAAAGCGACACACUGGAUCUUGUCUGACGCUGAGGCACGAAAGCCAGGGGAGCGAACGGG